CGCAAUGGGCGAAAGCCUGACGGAGCAAUACCGCGUGAGGGAUGAAGGCCUGUGGGUUGUAAACCUCUUUUCUCAAGGAAGAAAUUUUGACGGUACUUGAGGAAUAAGCAUCGGCUAACUCUGUGCCAGCAGCCGCGGUAAUACAGAGGAUGCAAGCGUUAUCCGGAAUCACUGGGCAUAAAGCGUCUGUAGGUUGCUUGCCAAGUCUGCUGUUAAAGACUAGGGCCUAACCCUGGGAAAGCAGUGGAAACUAGCAAGCUUGAGUGUGGUAGAGGUAGAGGGAAUUCCUGGUGUAGCGGUGAAAUGCGUAGAUAUUAGGAAGAACACCAAUGGCGAAAGCACUCUGCUGGGCCACAACUGACACUGAGAGACGACAGCUA
RNAcentral lists this ribosomal RNA (380 nucleotides) under uncultured organism. Its description in RNAcentral is "bacterial SSU rRNA". It matches the Rfam family "Bacterial small subunit ribosomal RNA", at positions 367 to 762 of the family's 1533-position model. The record is from RNAcentral.